UACGAAGGGGGCUAGCGUUGUUCGGAAUCACUGGGCGUAAAGCGCACGUAGGCGGACUUGUUAGUCAGGGGUGAAAUCCCGGGGCUCAACCCCGGAACUGCCUCUGAAACUGCAAGUCUCGAGUCCGAGAGAGGUGAGUGGAAUUCCUAGUGUAGAGGUGAAAUUCGUAGAUAUUAGGAAGAACACCAGUGGCGAAGGCGGCUCACUGGCUCGGUACUGACGCUGAGGUGCGAAAGCGUGGGGAGCAAACAGG
Molecule: unclassified non-coding RNA, 253 nt
Filed under: Filomicrobium insigne
Lineage: Bacteria; Pseudomonadati; Pseudomonadota; Alphaproteobacteria; Hyphomicrobiales; Hyphomicrobiaceae
Also listed under: 1 other name
Description: partial 16S ribosomal RNA
Rfam family: Bacterial small subunit ribosomal RNA
Source: RNAcentral